AGGACCAAGAAUAGGAGUACUCCAAACUCCCGUUAUUCUCAGGACAGUCUGUAGACAACCGAUUUUGUCAAGGGUUGCUUUUGGAUUUGCAUCCUUAGAAAUUGAAGGUCUACAGUCUUGUAUAUUUUCGGUUAUUUUGGAGCUCAUAUGUCAUUGUAGAAUAUUUUUGUAUACCUGGUUUAUUGUGCUAUUAUAUAUAUGAAUUUAUUUUG
This is a non-coding RNA of Theobroma cacao (cacao), 212 nucleotides long. The record is from RefSeq and is a predicted model, not a curated record. Lineage: Eukaryota; Viridiplantae; Streptophyta; Magnoliopsida; Malvales; Malvaceae.